GCUUGUUGGAUGGGGAUAACUUUAUGUCAAGUGAUUGUUCAGAGAAUCAGGUUAUGUGAAAUGUAGGCCAUUCGGUUUGAAUUUACGUCUGUUGGUCUAUUUUUGUUUUUGUUUUUUGCUAUGCCAUUGUCAGUUUAUUUUCGAUUUAUGAGUUUGAAUGUCCAUUUUGUAUCUUUCGUCUCUUUUUUAAACCAAAUAAUAUUUACACGCAAAC
This 214-nucleotide long non-coding RNA is filed under the name Mytilus galloprovincialis (Mediterranean mussel). Lineage: Eukaryota; Metazoa; Mollusca; Bivalvia; Mytilida; Mytilidae. The record is from RNAcentral.